GUUUAAUUCCACCAAUCAGACUCACAACAAGAUGCAAACAAGGCAAUGAAUGCAGCAAAAACGAAUAUCGGAAUGUUAAAGAAUGCAAGUCUAGAAACCCGAUCUGCAGAUGUUGCUGCGUGGGAGAAGAUUGUAAUAAACCGGAAUUGUGAUGUUUUCCAAGUCCUGAACAAAAGAUCAACCAGACAAAAGAAACUAUCGGAAUCUCUACUGUCUCGAUAUGGAUCAAAUAAAUUUAUAUCUUUCAAAAAUAAAAACUGAGUAUAAUAACUAAUAUUCGAGUGAUUUAGUAUGCAAAGAUAUGAUACAAACGAUUUGCUUAUUUUCCCGGAAUGCGCUCUGCCAGCCCUUUCACGGUGCCAUAGUCGCUACGUACAUACAAUAAACCAUAAUACAUACAUAAAAGCGGACUACAGGUUGAGAAUUUGUUAAGCAAUGCAUUGUUCAUGUUGCCAAUGUUUUAUGUCAAAAAAUAAAAGAGGCAUUUGCAAAAAGA
Non-coding RNA from Styela clava, 496 nucleotides. Lineage: Eukaryota; Metazoa; Chordata; Ascidiacea; Stolidobranchia; Styelidae. The record is from RefSeq and is a predicted model, not a curated record.